AUGCAUAUGGCACAGGAUCCGGACAUGCAUAUGGCACAGGAUCCGGACGACGAUGACGACCACGGUACAUUUACCAACGUCGAUAAGUACUUUGCCGAACAUGGGUACGGUGACGAAUUCUUGGGGCCUCCUUCUCAAGAACCCAACCCUGCAAAAGACGACCGUGAUCUAACUGGUACCGCGAAGAAACCCAAUUGCAACAGGCGUCAUAUGGGGUUCAGUUCUCAGGAGAUGCCUCCAGCUGCCGCCUUCACCAAGCCUCAGAUAGCUGAGGUGCAAAAUAUUAUCAGCCCCAACACACUCAAGAAGGCGAUCUCUGAGCAGAACUCGACCCCAUUACAGCAGAAGAAGGGACGGAAAAGAAAGAAUAACAAGGAUGGUGCGAGCCAGCCGGCACCGAGUACGAUCCGUACUCAGGACGGGUCACCUUCACCUAAGGAUAUCUCGAGGAGGGUGCAUGUGGCGGGUAGGCCGAUGCUACCGACUAAUCUGCUCAAUGCUGCAACCGGUGCUAUGCGGAGUCUGCAUGACCGUGUUCUUUCUUUGGAGAAGCGGCGUCUCUUCGAGAAUGAUGUGGCAUACCCAGUUUUUGUGGCCAAGGUGCCAGAGGGCAAGGGCUUUGUGGAUAGCGCCAUCGGGGGUACGGUGGUCCUGCGGUUUGAUGACAUCUUCGCUAUGUUUAACCUUCAUCCGUUGCACUACACCUUUGUUCGGCUAUUUUCGCCGAGUAUGGAGAUGCGGAUCAUUAGAGACAAGACCCCAAACAUCGUGAUAGUCGACCCCUUCUACAUGUGUGCCAAGAUCUUGGGCAGCGCUGGGGACUGGCAAGUCGCGAGUUCACACCUCGAAGGCGUCAUUCUGGCAAACCCAGAUAAGGAUAACUUCCUCGUGCCUUAUUUUCCCGAGUAA
RNAcentral lists this ribosomal RNA (909 nucleotides) under Triticum aestivum (bread wheat). RNAcentral's name for it is "partial small subunit ribosomal RNA". Lineage: Eukaryota; Viridiplantae; Streptophyta; Magnoliopsida; Poales; Poaceae. The record is from RNAcentral.